GGAAUGACCAAAACCAUAAUCAGAGGGUCUAAAAACUUUGUUGAUGGGUUUUCCACCUUUGAUUCUGCUACCUUAACUGUAACAGGGGACAAAUUCCUAGCCAGGGACUUGACAAUAAUGAACACAGCAGGUCCACAUAAAUAUCAGGCAGUUGCUGCGAGAGUGACCUCUAAUUCUGCCUUUUAUCGAUGCAAUUUCAGCUCAUAUCAGGAUACACUUUUUGCUCAUUCACUUCGCCAAUUCUACCGUGAAUGUACAAUCCAAGGCACGAUUGACUUUAUUUUUGGAAAUGCAGCUGCAAUUUUCCAAAACUGUCUGAUACUUGUUCGCAAACCAAUCCCUGGUCAAAGUAAUAUGAUCACUGCUCAAGGCAGGAGAGACCCAAAUCAGAACACCGGUUUCUCAUUGCAAAAUUGCACCAUUCUUGCUGCAGCAGAUUUGAAAGCGGCGAAAAGGCAACAUAUUUCCACUUUCUUGGGUAGGCCUUGGGGAAACUACUCAAGG
Molecule: unclassified non-coding RNA, 504 nt
Filed under: Hevea brasiliensis (rubber tree)
Lineage: Eukaryota; Viridiplantae; Streptophyta; Magnoliopsida; Malpighiales; Euphorbiaceae
Source: RNAcentral